RNAcentral lists this ribosomal RNA (484 nucleotides) under uncultured bacterium. Its description in RNAcentral is "partial 16S ribosomal RNA". It matches the Rfam family "Bacterial small subunit ribosomal RNA", at positions 30 to 507 of the family's 1533-position model. The record is from RNAcentral.
AUUGAACGCUGGCGGCAGGCCUAACACAUGCAAGUCGAGCGGAUGAAGGGAGCUUGCUCCUGGAUUCAGCGGCGGACGGGUGAGUAAUGCCUAGGAAUCUGCCUGGUAGUGGGGGAUAACGUCCGGAAACGGGCGCUAAUACCGCAUACGUCCUGAGGGAGAAAGUGGGGGAUCUUCGGACCUCACGCUAUCAGAUGAGCCUAGGUCGGAUUAGCUAGUUGGUGGGCUAAAGGCCUACCAAGGCGACGAUCCGUAACUGGUCUGAGAGGAUGAUCAAUCACACUAGAACUGAGACACGGUCCAGACUCCUACGGGAGGCAGAAGUGGGGAAUAUUGGACAAUGGGCGAAAGCCUGAUCCAGCCAUGCCGCGUGUGUGAAGAAGGUCUUCGGAUUGUAAAGCACUUUAAGUUGGGAGGAAGGGCAGUAAGUUAAUACCUUGCUGUUUUGACGUUACCAACAGAAUAAGCACCGGCUAACUUCGUG